GUGCUCACUUUGGCAGCACAUAUACUAAAAUUGGAAUGAUACAGAGAAGAUUAGCAUGUCCCCUGCACAAGGAUGACACGCAAGUUCAUGAAGCAUCUUGUAUUUUU
Heterocephalus glaber (naked mole-rat) is the source of this 107-nucleotide small nuclear RNA. NCBI's taxonomy places the organism in Eukaryota, Metazoa, Chordata, Mammalia, Rodentia, Bathyergidae. The record is from Ensembl.